RNAcentral lists this unclassified non-coding RNA (3883 nucleotides) under Leishmania donovani. RNAcentral's name for it is "gene:LdHU3.09.1400(CDS-product:hypothetical_prote in_conserved)". The record is from RNAcentral. Lineage: Eukaryota; Euglenozoa; Kinetoplastea; Trypanosomatida; Trypanosomatidae.
CUACCACGAGCACUCUUGCCGCUGUACCAAACUGCCCCUCCGGUACCACCCAUCCCCUCCAGCCUUCUUACAGCUAUCACAUCAGCAUCGUGCUGUCCACCUCCCUCAGCGUCAACGCCAAUGUUUCUCUUCCGCCACAGCGCAGAGCCAAUGGAAGAGGAAGAGGAGCACCAUGAACCGGUCGACAGCACGAUGGAGCCCCAUAAUGCCGACACCGCUGCGGCUGAAGAGCGCGGAACGUCCGCGGAUGUGGCUGACGGCGACAUCUCGCGCGAGCCGUCCGGCUUCGCGGAGUCGUUCGAGGAAACGGGAGGUGCACCGCACACCCCGCGCGAGGGUACCGUGCCGCCGCCCCAUGUGCAUGAUAUGCUGCAGCACCAGCAUCUGCAUGACGAAGACGACGUCGAGGCGGACAUGGCCGCUGCCGCGCCGGCUGCAUCGGCCCCAGCUCCAUCCCACGGUGUACCGGCACUACCGAUGCCGCACACUUGCAACGAGGACUCUCAAGCUGAAGCGGACGGGAACGGAGCGCAGCGCCAUCGCAGCUACUCGCAUACCUCACGUUUUGCGGCGCCGUCGCCGCGCUCGACCAGCGGCAUCAGCCGUGGCCGCUCCUACUCGCUAAGCGGCCUCAGCGCCGCCGAGCUGGCGGAUGUGCACGAGCAGCGGUACCGCCGCUGCACCUCUGUCGUCAAGUCCGCGCGCUGCAUCUCGGCACGCCGGGCCAGCUCUGUGAACGGGGUCGUCGGCGUCAUCGAUGACCUCUACACGUUGGCCAGCCGCCGCAGCAGCGUCAUGACCGAGGGUGAGCGCGUCGCAGUGGAGCGGAUGAUGGAGAACGAGUACCGCCGACAGGAGGCGGCAGAGCGCUCGGCGCAGCUCGCGCUCGCGCGCGAGUCCACCAUCGUCAACGAGGAGCUCGCUCGCGAGAAGGCCAUGUAUGUGCGGCGCAUGCGUCUCAAUGAGGAGCUGCACGCGCGAUUGGCGAAGAGCAGCCGCAUCCGCCAGGAACGCAUGACCGCUGCGGCGCAGCGUCGGCAGGAGAUUGAACAAGAGCGGCUGCGCGUGCUCUACGACUCGAUGAUGGAGAAGGACACUCGCUACCACUUCCGCAAUCCGUACGAGAUGAUGGCUGCGCAGCGUCGCUACAGCAUUGAGAUGCGUAACCCUGCCGCGAUCGCGCCGCAGCGGCGCACCUCCUCGCCGUCCACGAGGGCAAACGGGAACGCUCAGAUGAGCCCCUACUCGAGCGACGGGGUUGCGAACGGUACCACGGAGGACCGCUGCACCUCCUCUCCCGCCACGAGGCGGCGUAGCAGUACCCCGAGUAUCGCCAAGUCCAAGCCGCGACAGUGCCUGCCGCUAGAUGCCUGGAAAAAGCCGGAGCCGCCGCGUAAGGACUCGUGCCGGAGCGACAUCUCUGCUGAGCACCGGUGCCGAUCCCCGAAUGAUUGGCGGGCCACCGCGGUGUUGGAGCACCCACGCCAGUGGCGCUAAAAGGGCGAGCGCACAUGCGGCGUUCCCCUUCGCGAUGUCAUUCACCGCGGCGCGGCUACACCGUUUCCGUGAUGCGCGCCGUGCUUGUCUUCCGGUGUCGCCUCCACGUGGCAUUGAACUGCGCCGUGGACGACGCUGAUUGUAGUUUGCCUCUGUGGUUAAGCGACAGGUGGUGACGGUGGCGCAUGUGUAAGCGCGUGUGUGUGUGGGCGUUGAGGGGGAGAGGAGGGCUCCGCUCGCCCUAUGACGACGAAUGGAUGCUUCUUUAUGAGCAAAAGCUUCCUCCCCACCACCACCCACCCACACACACACGCACGGCACAUUAUUGAUCACGUCUGUGCUUGAGUGUAUGCGAGUUGGCGCGUGUUCUCGGGGUGUCUUGCUGCUUCUGUUUUGUUUGGUGUUCCUUUUCUGUACUCUUCUUUAGAGCUUUCCCUCAAGCGGUGGUAGCGCGUCUGUCCUUCGACUCGCACGUUCGUGUGAGUGUGAGGCGUGUGUGGGUGUACGUCGUGUGUGGCGUGCCGGUCUUUCUGAUCUUCGCCUUUCCUUUGUAACGUCCCUGUGUGUUUUUUUCUCCUCCUCUGUAUGGCAGGGAGGCGACGUCGCUGCCCCCUCUUCCCUUCCCGCCCCACCCCCUCUCGUCUUUCUUACGGUUCUUUCUCAUGCGUGUUGGCGGAUUCUCAUGCAUGCGUGUCCACGUGGGGCUGUGUGUGUGUGCGUGUGUGUGUGUGUGUUGCACAGGCACGUCGGAUGCUGCUGCUCCUAUUCCCUUGUUUUCGCUGGCGGACAAGUCAGUCAAUCAUACACGCAUGCACCGACACAUCCGUUGGCGUAUGCGUGGAUGAAGGGCGUGUGAGGGACGUCGUUGCGAUGCCCCUCUUGUGUGCUGAACGUUUUCUUUGUGUGUCUCUCCUACUUGGCCUCUCUUUUUCUCUGGUGACGGGAGGGCACACAUACACACACCUCUCAGAGCGUGGUGUCUCAGGGCCCUGUGCGACUCUCCCCGCCCCCCACUCUCUCUCUGUUAGGGAGGCCAAACAGCCCCCCCCCCCUCUUCUACCUCUGCCAAUGCAGAACCCACCUCUGGCGGUGCGUCGGGACGGCCGACGACAGUGAACACGUCUGUGACAUCCAUACGAUGGGCAGCACGUGUCAGGGUGACUCGAGCGUAUGCCUCACACGGCCCUCACACGGCCCACUGAUGUGUGGGGAGGAGCCUGUGUGCCACCCCGAGGGAGGGGGGAGGGGGGAUGCACCAGGCGUGGCGACCGGCAUGAUUGGGGGGCGGCUGUGUGGGGUGGGGGAGUAGAGCUUGAGACAGAGAUGGUGUACAGGUCGCUGAGUCGGCGCAUUUGCUGUAGCACACGUGUGUGUCUGCGGUUUGCUUCGCACCACGCGGAUGGGGCCUGGUGACAGGGCCGUGGAAGGGUGGGUGGGCGAAGGGGUGUGCAGAGUGGCGUUGGACUCAUACGCGAGGGCUGAGAAAUGAAGGCAGUGGCAGACGACAUACACGCCUCCCACCCUCCCUCCCUCUUCUCUUCCGCUUCUCCGCUCAUCCCGGUGGCUGCGCAUCCGUCUCGCUCGCCGCUGUCGAUGGGAAAGGGUGUCCUCCCUGUUUUGCUUUUUCUUUCUUCUCCGCCUCUCUCUCACACAAGCAAGCGCUUUCACACACGAUCAACGAAAUGAUGACGUGGGCCGGUUGGUGGUGAUGGUCGUGCAGUGUGAGAGUGAGACCGGGAGGUGGGGAGGGCGAUCGACGGGGUGAUCUGCCAUAGAGCUCUUUGCUUCUGCCUGCUACCGCCGAUCCUCCUCCUCCCCCCACCCCACCCCACAUCUCUUUCUUCGUUUCCGCAGGUCUCUUGUGGACCCUGUAUUCCUCCUUCAUUGUGUGGGUGUGUGGUGUGCAGUGUGUGUGCGUGUCGCAUCUGUAUCUCCCCCAUGUUUUCCUUCGCUCUUCUUCACCUCCUUUUUCAUCCAUUGCGCUUCUAUGCUGCUGUUGCUGUCGCUUCCCUUUCCGUGGGAACGUGUGGGGAGGAGGGGAAGGGAGGUAGGUUGUUGUUGCUGCUGAUGCUGCUCGGCGCGGAGUAGCGUUUUAUGUGUGCCUGCUGUACGUCGUGUUCUUGGUAACCUCCCUUCUCUCUUCUCUCGUCACUUCGGUGGCUGGGUUGGGUGCGUGUUGGAGUGUCAGCGCGUCUGACGUGUGCGGGAAAGGGCAGCUUGCCAUGCCGAAGCAACAAGCACGACACACGCACGCACGCGUCAUCGCACGCGGGUUCGUUUUACAGUUGUUGUUCCCACCAACCACUACCCUUCCCUCCCUCCUCCCCCUUUUUCAUCAUCCAUUCCUUUCAUCCGUUCAUCCAUUCGACCGACGCACCCGGGCAAC